Molecule: ribosomal RNA, 430 nt
Filed under: Pseudomonadota bacterium
Lineage: Bacteria; Pseudomonadati; Pseudomonadota
Description: Proteobacteria bacterium partial 16S ribosomal RNA
Rfam family: Bacterial small subunit ribosomal RNA
Source: RNAcentral
UGGGGAAUAUUGGACAAUGGGGGGAACCCUGAUCCAGCCAUGCCGCGUGUGUGAAGAAGGCCUUAUGGUUGUAAAGCACUUUAAGCGAGGAGGAGGGUACUGGUAUUAAUACUACCAGGUACUGGACGUUACUCGCAGAAUAAGCACCGGCUAACUCUGUGCCAGCAGCCGCGGUAAUACAGAUGGUGCGAGCGUUAAUCGGAUUUACUGGGCGUAAAGCGUGCGUAGGCGGCUAAUUGAGUCGGAUGUGAAAUCCCCGAGCUUAACUUGGGAAUUGCAUUCGAUACUGGUUAGCUAGAGUGUGGGAGAGGAUGGUAGAAUUCCAGGUGUAGCGGUGAAAUGCGUAGAGAUCUGGAGGAAUACCGAUGGCGAAGGCAGCCAUCUGGCCUAACACUGACGCUGAGGUACGAAAGCAUGGGGAGCAAACAGG